Lathyrus oleraceus (garden pea) is the source of this 791-nucleotide long non-coding RNA. RefSeq lists it as uncharacterized. The record is from RefSeq and is a predicted model, not a curated record. Lineage: Eukaryota; Viridiplantae; Streptophyta; Magnoliopsida; Fabales; Fabaceae. The transcript has 2 exons.
GAGAAAUAUGCUUGGGCUUGGACAUAGGACCAAAUAAAAACAACAUGGUUCAAAUAGGGUGCAUUGCUGAAGGUGUAGGGUGCAUAAUGUGUUUUCAUAGGCCAAAAGCCUUAGGCCCACGCGCUGAAGUAAGGCCAAUUGAGGAGGAUAGGGUUCAACACAUUCUUAAAAUAUUUUCUCUCCUAAAAUUACAUGGUCUGAGAAUGACAUCUCCGAUGCGCCAAAAUUCGCCACCGACGGCGGCGGAGGCUCAAACCUCACAGUAUGAACAUCGUUCUCUUCAUCUCAUCAUCUCAUAUUAGGGCUUUUAUUCCUUAAGCCAACCACUAGAUAUUGGUAACUUAGGUAAGGAGAAAAGAAGUGACGACCCUACCUAUGAUGAGGAGGAGUUCCUCAGUGAGUGUUGAAUUCAGAGUAAAUAUGCGAAGAUGAAGACCCUUCAGGACUGAUGUGCAUAUGGGAUGGCUUGGCAUGGUUGUUGGCAAGGCAUGGUGUGUUGGUAUGGCAUGAUCAAGGUAGGCAUGGCAUGUUCAAAGUUGAAAUUAUGGAAAUGAAGAAUAUUGAAGUCAUUGAAGCACUUAGAGGCAUAUAUGAAGGAUCAAGGAUGAUGAAGGCCAAAGAGUUUAUUAGGGUUUAGGAUCAGUUUGACUUUGGUCAACUGUUUGACCAAAAAGUCAACUCUAUAUCAAAUAUAGGUUUUUGUGUGUGUAUGAAAUCUUCUAAUUGGCCUUUUGUAAUGAAAUGGAUGUUUGUAAUGAAGUUUUUUGAUUGUAAUGUAACUUGUUUUCCAA